RNAcentral lists this small RNA (29 nucleotides) under Bombyx mori (domestic silkworm). Its description in RNAcentral is "piRNA piR-bmo-1777137". The record is from RNAcentral. Lineage: Eukaryota; Metazoa; Arthropoda; Insecta; Lepidoptera; Bombycidae.
UGUCUAGAAGUGGUGCGACUCUGCCCCGU